AGGGUUCUGCUAUGUAGAAUUUGAUGAGGUGGAUUCCCUGAAGGAGGCUCUGACCUACGACGGUGCACUCUUGGGUGACCGGUCACUUCGUGUGGACAUUGCAGAAGGCAGAAAACAAGACAAAGGUGGCUUUGGGUUCAGGAAAGGCGGACCUGAUGACAGAGGAAUGGGUGGCUCUCGAGAACCGAGAGGUGGAUGGGAUUCCCGGGAUGACUUCAGCUCUGGUAUCAGUAUUUAACAUUCCACUCUUCCCUCGCUCCCUUGUCUCUCAGGAGCGUUCAACCUAGACAGGCUUUUAGUUCCUCCCAAAAAGUCUCCAUGCUAAGCCUCAGGGCUGGGCAGAGAAGUCAGGCCCCUCCUUUUGCUCUCCUCUGAGCCUGUUGCUGGGGCUAUAGCCAGGACAACUCUUAGGUUUGUAUACAGUACAGAAAGAGAUAGCAGUGAUUUUGGAAAUAACUUAGAGGCUCCAGAGCUGCCGAGGAAACCUCUCCGGUAUGGGUCCUGGUGGCCAGUGUUUCUCUCUCUUGAAGGGCAUGGAGCUCUGCUUCUUCACUUCAGGGUAAGAUAGGUUGAUCAGAGGAUGUCUGCAUCAGUAGGGAUGAGAGGCACAGACUAGAGCAGUCAGAAAUGAACUUGCUCAUAAAAGUACAGUAGCAGUGAGCAGUAAGUCUGUAAUUUUAUGUAUGAGCUGGUUUCUGACUAAAACGCGCAGCAUAUGUCUCAGCCAGCCCGGCAAGGAAGCAGCUCCUGAGGGGAAGCAGCUCCAUAGGGCCUCAGGUCCUGGAGAGACCUAAUUCUAGGGCCAGAGCCUUUCCCAGUUGCCUUGUUUCAGCCAAGAAUGCAGUGGGAACCCUUGCCUUACCACUCUUGGGUCCCAGAGGCAGCUGCCAGGGUGAUGCCCUCUAAGACACCUGUGGAUCUGACUUAAGUAUUCUGACAGUGUUCUAAAGGAGUGGGGCCUUUUUCUCUUUUUUAAAUAGAGGGGAAUACAGUGAAGAGAGGA
This 1003-nucleotide long non-coding RNA is filed under the name Rattus norvegicus (Norway rat). RNAcentral describes it as "long non-coding RNA NONRATT007407". The stretch from base 617 to 704 matches the Rfam family "mir-590 microRNA precursor family". Lineage: Eukaryota; Metazoa; Chordata; Mammalia; Rodentia; Muridae. The record is from RNAcentral.